Molecule: ribosomal RNA, 448 nt
Filed under: uncultured bacterium
Lineage: Bacteria
Description: bacterial SSU rRNA
Rfam family: Bacterial small subunit ribosomal RNA
Source: RNAcentral
UGAGGGAUAUUGCACAAUGGGCGCAAGCCUGAUGCAGCGACGCCGCGUGGGUGAUGAAGGCUUUCGAGUCAUAAAACCCUUUUCUGUGUGACGAGCAAGGACGGUAGCACAGGAAUAAGUCUCGGCUAACUACGUGCCAGCAGCCGCGGUAAAACGUAGGAGACAAACGUUAUCCGGAGUUACUGGGCGUAAAGGGCGUGCAGGCGGUUUGGUAAGUCUGGCGUGAAAUCAUUCGGCUUAACCGGGUGAUGUCGUCGGAGACUGCCAGACUAGAGGGUGAUAGAGGCGUGUGGAAUUCCGGGUGUAGUGGUGAAAUGCGUAGAGAUCCGGAGGAACACCAGUGGCGAAGGCGACACGCUGGGCCGUACCUGACGCUAAGACGCGACAGCAUGGGGAGCAAACAGGAUUAGAUACCCAGGUAGUCCCUGAGCGGGCUGGCAAGGCGCAU